UGGGGAAUAUUGGACAAUGGGGGCAACCCUGAUCCAGCAAUGCCGCGUGUGUGAAGAAGGUCUUCGGAUUGUAAAGCACUUUCGACGGGGACGAUGAUGACGGUACCCGUAGAAGAAGCCCCGGCUAACUUCGUGCCAGCAGCCGCGGUAAUACGAAGGGGGCUAGCGUUGCUCGGAAUGACUGGGCGUAAAGGGCGUGUAGGCGGUUUACACAGUCAGAUGUGAAAUCCCCGGGCUUAACCUGGGAGCUGCAUUUGAUACGUGUAGACUAGAGUGUGAGAGAGGGUUGUGGAAUUCCCAGUGUAGAGGUGAAAUUCGUAGAUAUUGGGAAGAACACCGGUGGCGAAGGCGGCAACCUGGCUCAUUACUGACGCUGAGGCGCGAAAGCGUGGGGAGCAAACAGGAUUAGAUACCCUGGUAGUCCACGCUGUGAACGAUGUGUGCUAGAUGUUGGGUAACUUUGUUAUUCAGUGUCGCAGUUAACGCGUUAAGCACACCGCCUGGGGAGUACGGCCGCAAGGUUGAAAC
This 528-nucleotide ribosomal RNA is filed under the name uncultured bacterium. Its description in RNAcentral is "partial 16S ribosomal RNA". It matches the Rfam family "Bacterial small subunit ribosomal RNA", at positions 355 to 900 of the family's 1533-position model. The record is from RNAcentral.